GGCGCCCUAGGGUAAAGCCGGUGAUUGGGGCUAAGUCGUAACAAGGUAGCCGUACCGGAAGGUGCGGCUGGAACACCUCCUUUCUGGAGC
RNAcentral lists this ribosomal RNA (90 nucleotides) under Bacteroides caecicola. RNAcentral describes it as "partial 16S ribosomal RNA". It matches the Rfam family "Bacterial small subunit ribosomal RNA", at positions 1451 to 1533 of the family's 1533-position model. The record is from RNAcentral. Lineage: Bacteria; Pseudomonadati; Bacteroidota; Bacteroidia; Bacteroidales; Bacteroidaceae.